Molecule: ribosomal RNA, 492 nt
Filed under: uncultured bacterium
Lineage: Bacteria
Description: partial 16S ribosomal RNA
Rfam family: Bacterial small subunit ribosomal RNA
Source: RNAcentral
AGUGAACGCUGGCGGUAGGCCUAACACAUGCAAGUCGAACGGCAACACAGUAAGAGCUUGCUCUUACGGUUGGCGAGUGGCGGACGGGUGAGGCAUACAUCGCAAUCUACUUUUUCGGGGGGGAUAACGUAGAGACACUUCCGCUAAUACCGCAUACGUCCUACGGGUGAAAGCAGGGGAUCUUCGGACCUUGCGCGAUUGAAUGAGCCGAGGUCGGAUUAGCUAGUUGGCGGGGUAAAGGCUCACCAAGGCGACGAUCCGUAGCUGGUCUGAGAGGAUGAUCAGCCACACUGGAACUGAGACACGGUCCAGACUCCUACGGGAGGCAGCAGUGGGGAAUAUUGGACAAUGGGCGAAAGCCUGAUCCAGCAAUACCGCGUGGGUGAAGAAGGCCUUCGGGUUGUAAAGCCCUUUUGUUGGGAAAGAAAAGCAGCAGGUUAAUAUCCCGCUGUUCUGACGGUACCCAAAGAGUAAGCACCGGCUAACUUCGUG